UGGUUGGGACUGUCCUGACAUCCCAUGCCCUUACUUGGUGACUGACACCGGCACUGAAUGAACAACGUUUUCAACCAGUAACAGUGACAUUUUGUGAUGCAGUGGCAUGGAAUACUAGAAAGAGAAAAAUUACAGCUUGGAAUAAGUUAUAUUAUUAAAUGCAUCUUAUUUUAUAUUACAAAUGAAGCAUUCGGUAAUACUCCUACAAUCUCUUAAAGUGACUGCAUAAAAAUCCUUGUUUUUCUAUGUUGAUCAUGGAAAACAUCUCGAGGUAGUUCAGUUUUAAUCAGUGUAUGGGCUCUUCAUGGGUCAUUGUUUAUCAUUUUGGAUAUUGGCAGAAUCCACUGAAUGAAGAAGUUGCUUUUUUUUUAAACCCGAUACAAUGAUUGUUUUAGGCAGCAUUGGAUGAUUGAUUUAAACUGAUUGAACAGUCUCAGCCCUUUCAGUGCUGUUUUUAUAAUGGAAUAAAAUAAUAAUAAUAAUAGCUAAUGGUAUCAAAUGCUUAGUUCUAAAUAGUUCGCAUGUAUCCUCAUUUAAUCUCCAAACAGCACUAGGGUGUGAAUGUCCGUGUUUUUCUAAUUUAUAAGUGGGAACCACCAUCUGAAGCCACUAAGAGACUGAAAAACUUAACUGAAGUCUUAUAGGUAAUGAAGUGCCGGAGCUAGGAUUUGAACCUGGUGAGAGUGACUUCAGUGCCCAUGCAAUCAAUCACUAGAAUAUUGUGCCCUUCCAUAAGAUGGAACAUAAAAAAGUCUACUUUGAAAUCCGGUAGUCAAGCAGAGGCCAACUGAACACUACGGUACAUCAGCGUAUUACAUUUUACAGCUAGAAGAGCCUUGCGUAGCAUCCUAUGCUCUCUUUAUCCAACUUCACCUACGUAAAGACUGAAGACUAUCACUCCUUACCAUUGACAGAUUUGCACCUGAAGCUGCAAAAAUCUACCUCCUGAUCAUUUGUGUCUUGACACUCCCAAUGACAAAAAAACAGAAACAAAAAGCACAGAGACAGUGAGAAAAUCUGUGCUUUUCCAGUAGUGACCUCUUUAAAGAGUGAUAAACUGGACGUAUUUUAAAAAUGAAGUUUUAUCGUACAUUAAUUUUUAGCUUGAAAUUCUUUAUAUCAUUUAUUUAAUAUCAAAGCUUUUAACCCAAUUACAUAUGAGGAAAAAAUAUUUAUUCUGUUUCCUUGCAGUUUGGAAAAUAUUUGUCUCGAUGCCAAACUGCCCAAAGACCUCCUCUUUCACUGAGGAAGCAAAGUUUCAGGAGAGUUUACUUAGAAUUGCUGAUCUUUUUCCUUUUCUCGAACGUUCCCAUGGUGCCCCAGUUCAACACCUGGAGUAUUCUCUUUCCUAGAGCCAUUUGCAUUCAACUCCCCAUCCACACGUAGCCAUUUUUUAAGUCCAAAGCAGAACUUAAAAAUGAUCCAAAUAUCUAAUCAAAGGAAAGAUUUAUUUCUUCAUCCUGGCAAAUGUCUCCCCUAAUGAAUUUCAACCAAACUAACCUGGAAUUAACUUUUGGCAUACCUCAUGCUAAUGGCAGAUUUGCUUUCUACUUUUGAAGGCAAAUUGAUAUUCACAAAUCAUACGUCACAAGCCACUAAAAGUGUCAGAAUCCUACAGCAGGCCCAUGGUGGCUUGUUAAUCUCUCCUGUUUAAAGGAAACAGACUAAUUCACUUAAAUAUAAUGAAAGCCAUACCUACUCCGGCCCAGUCCCUCAAAGAGUUCCAGCCCAUGCAAGUCCUGCCUUCUUUCUUCACCUCCUCUCCUGGCUCGGACAAUUAAACAUGAAGCGAAGAAGCAAUGAUUCCCUUAAUUUUGCCAUGUCUGAGUUACUUCAGAUGCCACAUGUGUCUGAGAUGUAGCAGACUUUAUUCUUUUUUGCACAGAAAAUAUAUACAAGUAGGGUAUCCCUGCCUACCUUUCACCAUUGUUUUCAACAAAGCAUAAAAGAUAAACCAGGAUGUUACAUCGAGGGGCCAGAUGUAUAUAUAACCUUUUGGCCUCCCUAUUCUAAUUGGCUUCCAUUAGGGGGAGGGAGAGAAAAAUAAAAUAGUACAACACAGGAAAUAAUAGACAAAGAGGUGUGAGAGUGAACUUUUAUAGUGGAUUGGCUGAAAUCGAUAUACUAUGAUCACGACGGAAGAGCAGUUUUCGAAAGGAUCAAACCAAAGAUGAUUGGCAUAAUAGUAACAGAAAGAGGAAAACAUUCAUCUUAAUGUAUGUGCCCAGAAAUUGUCCGACUGGGAUAACUUGUCCCGAAGACACAUUAUGUUUAACGUUUCUCAUAUUGACGUUCAUUUCAGUACUUUGAAGAGUCAAACCCUCU
This is a long non-coding RNA of Phyllostomus discolor (pale spear-nosed bat), 2325 nucleotides long. RefSeq lists it as uncharacterized. The transcript has 3 exons. Lineage: Eukaryota; Metazoa; Chordata; Mammalia; Chiroptera; Phyllostomidae. The record is from RefSeq and is a predicted model, not a curated record.